This 440-nucleotide ribosomal RNA is filed under the name uncultured bacterium. RNAcentral's name for it is "bacterial SSU rRNA". It matches the Rfam family "Bacterial small subunit ribosomal RNA", at positions 338 to 795 of the family's 1533-position model. The record is from RNAcentral.
CCUACGGGGGGCAGCAGUAGGGAAUAUUGCACAAUGGGCGAAAGCCUGAUGCAGCGACGCCGCGUGAGUGAUGAAGGCCUUCGGGUUGUAAAACUCUGUGAUAGGGGAAGAUGAUGACGGUACCCUAUCAGAAAGGACCGGCUAACUUCGUGCCAGCAGCCGCGGUAAUACGAGGGGUCCAAGCGUUGUUCGGAAUCACUGGGCGUAAAGCGGGUGUAGGCGGCCAAGCAAGUUGGAUGUGAAAGCCCCGGGCUCAACCCGGGAAGUGCAUCCAAAACUACUUGGCUUGAGUACGGUAGAGGAAGGUAGAAUUCCAGGUGUAGUGGUGAAAUACGUAGAUAUCUGGAGGAACACCGGUGGCGAAGGCGGCCUUCUGGACCAGUACUGACGCUCAGACCCGAAAGCGUGGGUAGCAAACAGGAUUAGAUACCCCAGUAGUC